This 2768-nucleotide long non-coding RNA is filed under the name Equus caballus (horse). RNAcentral's name for it is "lncRNA (ENSECAG00000053281.1)". Lineage: Eukaryota; Metazoa; Chordata; Mammalia; Perissodactyla; Equidae. The record is from RNAcentral.
GCAAAACCGACCCGGAACCCAGAGGAAGGAGGAAUUCAUUCUAACCUUACAUCUGGGUGUUACUCAGAGGAACUGAGCCGUGAGGGAUGGGGCAGGACUUCGGAGGGCAGAGAUGGAAAAAAGACGUCCCAGGGGAAGAGGUUUAAGUUCUGGAGAGGGCGACAGGAGAGGGGCACGUGUUCCUGGGACAGCGAGGCCGCAAGACAGCAGCAUGAUGGACCUGGUUUUUAGCCCUUGGCUCUUGGGUCUUAGUAAAACCAAAAUCUUGUAUUUUUAUCACUGUCUUCAUACUGUGCUUUACAACUCUCAGAACUAGCACGGGCAUAAAUUUGCUUAGAAGUCGGGGUUUGGGGUUCAGAAUUCGAAGGGACAUUUUUAUCAGUAAGAGCAUUUUCAAACAAUCUUGGAAUUCCACAGACUUUUCCGGAACCUCCUCCCAUCCCUCGGAGGGGCCACCUGGCAGGAUAAUCGGUAGCUGACUGGAAUUCAUCCCUCUUCUUGGAAUGCUGUGGAUGUGAGAUCUGUGUAGAAUGGCGGAAUGAUUUGGCCUUUUACAACGGGCCUCGAAAGGCCCAGCACGCUACAAAGAACAGAAGACACUUCCUCAAACUGGAUUGCACAAUGAGGACACUGACAAGUUCACAUGACUGGACGUCUAGCAGAAGGAGGAGGGCCCCAGGUGUGUCUAUCACGUGGGUCACACGAGCCAGACCACGGACGUAGCACUGGGAAGAGUGUUCAGCUUUCAUCAGACAUUAUUUGAUGCAGACUUCUCAAACAUUUAAGGGCUUGGUCAAGAUGAAUGAAGUGGUCUUGAAGGUGACUUGGAUCCCAGCAUUGCAAAUCUGAGGAUGGGGGUAUGUUCUUCGUUUGCCUGCUCAGCAGAAUGUCUGAGGAUGCACAGGCACCUACAUCCGUCAGGUGUUGACGCACAGCCUUCUCAAGCUGGACACCGCCUGGGCAUUCCGCGUACCUUGUGUGCUGAUGACUGACGAACUUUUCACUAUGACACCUGGACGUACAAACCUUGAAAAUGAUGAACUGAAAGAAGGAACAAAAAGCAGAAAAACUGCGAGUUAAGCAGAGAGAAGUUAAUACAAUGGAAACACCACCAUGAGCGUUAGAGUCAAACAGUGUUAGGUGCAGAUUCUCUGCCCUGCAGGUUACUCAACGCCGUGUGUACCUUGGCGCCCCCAUCUGUAAAACGGGCUCUUAUGAGGAUCAGCGAUGACACAUGUAGAGUGCGUAGUGCCAGCCCUGAUGCACUGGUGUGCAACAAGGAGCUGUUAUUAUCUGUAACUAAAUCAGAGCACCAUAUUUAGUUACAUGGAGAGACGUGCUGUCGCUGGGGUCCACAGUUCUGACUUCUCUGUAAGGAUUAAACAACCAGUCCUUUUGGCCUUGGUUUCGCUGGGUGUGGAAUAAGCUCAGGUUGCCAGCAUCACAGGGGUUCCUGGAGGUCUCCCCGGAGCUGCCAAGAGGCUGGUCCCCAGAGAAGCCCUUUGCGAGCCUGAGCUUGUCCCGAGAGUCAAGCUCUUCUCUAGGUACACGUUGAACAAAGCCCGCCCCCACACAGAGGCCGCCCCUUGGCUGCCAAGGACAGCAACGUCUUUGUUCUCAGGCUCUUUCAGAGCCCAGGGCCUACGAAGUGGACAAUAGGCCUGCCUUGUCCUUCCUUUGGCCUCACUUUCCUUAGAGGCCACAGUGGUUGGGGGGGUCAGGCAAGGAUGCAUGCCCUCGGGGUCCUAGGGGCCCACCCUGUGGGUUUCAGGCAGCUUCUUUUGUACUUCAGGCUGAAACGGUUGGUGCCAAGGAGAGGAGAGCGAGCAGGAGCGUGCCCUUCCCUCGAACAGGACUUCGCGUUCUGACCAACGGUAGAGGGUUGAACGGGCCUGCCAGGAGAUGCAUGCGAGUCCUAACCCCGGGUAGCUGUGCACGCACCCUUAUUUGGAAAUAAGGCCUUUGCAGAUGUAAUUAAGUUGAGGAUCAUGAGAGGAGAUCAUUGCAGAUUUAGGGCCCUAAAUCCAAUGACUGGUGUCCUUAGAGAGAAAAGAGACAGAGUUCUGACACUCAGAGACUAGGGUGAAGACGCAGCCAGCCCUAGGACAAAGGACGCCUGGGGGCCCCAGAAGCUGGAGGAGGUAGGAACGAUCUUCCCCUAGAGCCCGGGAGGGAGCAUGGCUCUGCCCACAUGAAGGUUUUCCUCCAGAACUGUGAGAGAAGAAAUUUCUGUUGUUUUAAACCACCCAAUUUGUGACAAUUUGUUACAGCAGCCCCAGGAAACUCACACGCCAGCCGUGGGUGCUUCCUGAGCCUCUGUGGUAAAGCCUCUUCUCUGCAUUUUGCAAAGUUCAAAGGUGCGUCUCGUCCCAGGGGUACGGCGGAAGGGCGGCAGUCCUUGAUUCAGGGUCAGUGUGGGUGCACGUUUCUGGGGAGCACUAGAAGCCCCUCUAAUGUCCCGGAGGCAGCAGUGGGUCGUGCCUUGGCAAGAGCACAGCACCUGACAGAGGCCACCAGGGGAGGCAGGGCUGGCAGGCACGGGCCCUUGAGGGUUUGUUGUUCAUUCCCACUUCAGCCUUUUAGAGUUGAGUGAGCUUUCUGAACUUGGAGGGUGCCAGAGACCAUUGUGCCCACUAAGCGAGAUGACCAUCUCCGCGUGUGUUCCCUGACCCCUUUAAGUCUGUGAUCCCUUCACGCUACUCAUUACAGAAGAUGAUUUACCAAGAAAGACCCCCAUGGUUUUUCAGUGGGCCUGUGCUUGUAGCCAU